RNAcentral lists this ribosomal RNA (253 nucleotides) under uncultured bacterium. Its description in RNAcentral is "partial 16S ribosomal RNA". It matches the Rfam family "Bacterial small subunit ribosomal RNA", at positions 524 to 776 of the family's 1533-position model. The record is from RNAcentral.
UACGUAGGGACCAAGCGUCGUUCGGAUUUACUGGGCGUAAAGGGCGCGUAGGCGGCGUGGUAAGUCACUUGUGAAAUCUCUGAGCUUAACUCAGAACGGCCAAGUGAUACUGCUGUGCUAGAGUGCAGAAGGGGCAAUCGGAAUUCUUGGUGUAGCGGUGAAAUGCGUAGAUAUCAAGAGGAACACCUGAGGUGAAGACGGGUUGCUGGGCUGACACUGACGCUGAUGCGCGAAAGCCAGGGGAGCAAACGGG